GAUGGGCGUGCGGCUGAUUAGGUAGUUGGCGGGGUAAUAGCCCACCAAGCCUACGAUCAGUAACUGGUGUGAGAGCACGACCAGUCACACGGGCACUGAGACACGGGCCCGACUCCUACGGGAGGCAGCAGUAAGGAAUAUUGGUCAAUGGACGCAAGUCUGAACCAGCCAUGCCGCGUGGAGGAUGAAGGCCCUCUGGGUUGUAAACUUCUUUUAUUUGGGAAGAAACCCAUCUUUUCUAAGGUGGUUGACGGUACCAGAUGAAUAAGCACCGGCUAACUCCGUGCCAGCAGCCGCGGUAAUACGGAGGGUGCAAGCGUUAUCCGGAUUCACUGGGUUUAAAGGGUGCGUAGGUGGGCAGGUAAGUCAGUGGUGAGAUCUCUGGGCUUAACCCAGAAACUGCCGUUGAUACUAUCUGUCUUGAAUGUAGUGGAGGUGAGCGGAAUAUGUCAUGUAGCGGUGAAAUGCUUAGAUAUGACAUAG
This 483-nucleotide ribosomal RNA is filed under the name uncultured Bacteroidota bacterium. RNAcentral's name for it is "bacterial SSU rRNA". It matches the Rfam family "Bacterial small subunit ribosomal RNA", at positions 224 to 704 of the family's 1533-position model. The record is from RNAcentral. Lineage: Bacteria; Pseudomonadati; Bacteroidota.